This 497-nucleotide ribosomal RNA is filed under the name uncultured bacterium. RNAcentral's name for it is "partial 16S ribosomal RNA". It matches the Rfam family "Bacterial small subunit ribosomal RNA", at positions 28 to 507 of the family's 1533-position model. The record is from RNAcentral.
GAUGAACGCUGGCGGCGUGCCUAAUACAUGCAAGUCGAGCGAACGGACGAGAAGCUUGCUUCUCUGAUGUUAGCGGCGGACGGGUGAGUAACACGUGGAUAACCUACCUAUAAGACUGGGAUAACUUCGGGAAACCGGAGCUAAUACCGGAUAAUAUUUUGAACCGCAUGGUUCAAAAGUGAAAGACGGUCUUGCUGUCACUUAUAGAUGGAUCCGCGCUGCAUUAGCUAGUUGGUAAGGUAACGGCUUACCAAGGCAACGAUGCAUAGCCGACCUGAGAGAGUGAUCGGCCACACUGGAACUGAGACACGGUCCUGACUCCUACGGGAGGCAGCAGUAGGGAAUCUUCCGCGAUGGGCGAAAGCCUGACGGAGCAACGCCGCGUGAGUGAUGAAGGUCUUCGGAUCGUAAAACUCUGUUAUUAGGGAAGAACAUAUGUGUAAGUAACUGUGCACAUCUUGACGGUACCUAAUCAGAAAGCCACGGCUAACUACGUG